GCCGGGCUGGGCGGCGGCGGCGCCUGCCUCGUCUACAAUGCGCGGCUGCGGGAGGUGAUCACCGUCUCCUUCCCGGCC
This 78-nucleotide transfer RNA is filed under the name Neoroseomonas lacus. RNAcentral describes it as "tRNA-Cys". Lineage: Bacteria; Pseudomonadati; Pseudomonadota; Alphaproteobacteria; Acetobacterales; Acetobacteraceae. The record is from RNAcentral.